This 21-nucleotide non-coding RNA is filed under the name Caenorhabditis elegans. Lineage: Eukaryota; Metazoa; Nematoda; Chromadorea; Rhabditida; Rhabditidae. The record is from RNAcentral.
UGAACUUCACGUUAGCAAAAG